AGCCCCGUAGUAUAGCGGCCAAGUAUGACUGCCUCUGGAGUGGUAGACCGAGGUUCGAAUCCUCGCGGGGCUACCA
RNAcentral lists this transfer RNA (76 nucleotides) under Nanobdellota archaeon. RNAcentral's name for it is "tRNA-Gln". It matches the Rfam family "tRNA". From Rfam's summary of the family: Transfer RNA (tRNA) molecules are approximately 80 nucleotides in length. Their secondary structure includes four short double-helical elements and three loops (D, anti-codon, and T loops). Lineage: Archaea; Nanobdellati; Nanobdellota. The record is from RNAcentral.